UGGGGAAUUUUGGACAAUGGGCGCAAGCCUGAUCCAGCCAUGCCGCGUGCAGGAUGAAGGCCUUCGGGUUGUAAACUGCUUUUGUACGGAACGAAAAGACUCCUUCUAAUAAAGGGGGUCCAUGGCGGUACCGUAAGAAUAAGCACCGGCUAACUACGUGCCAGCAGCCGCGGUAAUA
Molecule: ribosomal RNA, 178 nt
Filed under: uncultured soil bacterium
Lineage: Bacteria
Description: partial 16S ribosomal RNA
Rfam family: Bacterial small subunit ribosomal RNA
Source: RNAcentral